This 468-nucleotide ribosomal RNA is filed under the name uncultured bacterium. Its description in RNAcentral is "partial 16S ribosomal RNA". It matches the Rfam family "Bacterial small subunit ribosomal RNA", at positions 28 to 507 of the family's 1533-position model. The record is from RNAcentral.
GACGAACGCUGGCGGCGUGCUUAACACAUGCAAGUCGAACGGAAAGGCCCUGCUUUUGUGGGGUGCUCGAGUGGCGAACGGGUGAGUAACACGUGAGUAACCUGCCCUUGACUUUGGGAUAACUUCAGGAAACUGGGGCUAAUACCGGAUAGGAGCUCCUGCUGCAUGGUGGGGGUUGGAUAGUUUCGGCGGUUGGGGUUGGACUCGCGGCUUAUCAGCUUGUUGGUGGGGUAGUGGAUUACCAAGGCUUUGGCGGGUCGCCGGCCUGUGUGGGUGACCGGGCACAUGGGGACUGAGAUACGGCCCAGACUCCUACGGGAGGCAGCAGUGGGGAAUAUUGUACAAUGGGCGGGAGCCUGAUGCAGAAACGCCGCGUGCGUGAUGACGGCCUUCGGGUUGUAAACCGCUUUCGCCUGUGACGAAGCGUGAGUGACGGUAAUGGGUAAAGAAGCACCGGCUAACUACGUG